ACAAGCGGUGGAGCAUGUGGUUUAAUUCGAGCAACGCGAAGAACCUUACCAGGUCUUGACAUCCCUCGACAACCGAGAGAUCGGCGUUCCCCUUCGGGGGACGAGGGUGACAGGUGGUGCAUGGUUGUCGUCAGCUCGUGUCGUGAGAUGUUGGGUUAAGUCCCGCAACGAGCGCAACCCUCGACCUUAGUUGCCAGCAUUCAGUUGGGCACUCUAAGGUGACUGCCGGCUAAAAGUCGGAGGAAGGUGGGGAUGACGUCAAAUCAUCAUGCCCCUUAUGACCUGGGCUACACACGUGCUACAAUGGGCGGUACAAAGGGUCGCGAACCCGCGAGGGGGAGCCAAUCCCAAAAAGCCGCUCUCAGUUCGGAUUGCAGGCUGCAACUCGACUGCGUGAAGUCGGAAUCGCUAGUAAUCGUGGAUCAGCCAAGCCGCGGUGAAUACGUUCCCGGGCCUU
This 457-nucleotide ribosomal RNA is filed under the name uncultured Anoxybacillus sp. Its description in RNAcentral is "bacterial SSU rRNA". It matches the Rfam family "Bacterial small subunit ribosomal RNA", at positions 925 to 1382 of the family's 1533-position model. The record is from RNAcentral. Lineage: Bacteria; Bacillati; Bacillota; Bacilli; Caryophanales; Anoxybacillaceae.